AAGUUUAUUAAUUCAACGACUGAAUUGUGUUCAUUUAUACAUCACAUGGUCGAUAAUUUCCGUUGUAAAUAAUGUUUGUGCGUAAAAAUAAAUGAGUGAGCAAGUUAAAUAUUUUUUAAACGAAAGCAAAACUGGAUAUUAAUCUAAACAAUUAGUGCCAAGUGAGAGCGUAAUAUGCCUUUGUGCUCACAAAUCAGAUAAUCAUGUCUUUAUCAAAUAAACUGAGUAACAAUUACGAAAUUAAGAAGACCGUGUCUCACAUGAUAGUACUAAUAAAAAUAUACUUUGACAUCUGAAAGAAAAAUGACAUAUUAAGAGAUCGGCAAACGAGAACAAUGCUUGUGUCUAAUCUUUAAAACCAUUGUAAACCAAAUAUGCAUUUGGUUAUUGGAUUGCGAUUGGGGAAGAUGAAAUAUUUAAACUUGCUUUACUGCUUUACGUAAAGUUAUAGACACCAUUGUUGAUAGGUGGUACGAAAGAAAAGUUUAUCCAUAGCGAAGAGUAGUAUAGUUUGUAAGUCAUA
Non-coding RNA from Schizosaccharomyces pombe (fission yeast), 523 nucleotides. The record is from the annotation of a GenBank genome assembly. NCBI's taxonomy places the organism in Eukaryota, Fungi, Ascomycota, Schizosaccharomycetes, Schizosaccharomycetales, Schizosaccharomycetaceae.